GAUGAACGCUGGCGGCGUACCUAAUACAUGCAAGUCGAGCGAACAGACGAGGAGCUUGCUCCUCUGACGUUAGCGGCGGACGGGUGAGUAACACGUGGAUAACCUACCUAUAAGACUGGGAUAACUUCGGGAAACCGGAGCUAAUACCGGAUAAUAUAUUGAACCGCAUGGUUCAAUAGUGAAAGACGGUUUUGCUGUCACUUAUAGAUGAAUCCGCGCCGCAUUAGCUAGUUGGUAAGGUAACGGCUUACCAAGGCGACGAUGCGUAGCCGACCUGAGAGGGUGAUCGGCCACACUGGAACUGAGACACGGUCCAGACUCCUACGGGAGGCAGCAGUAGGGAAUCUUCCGCAAUGGGCGAAAGCCUGACGGAGCAACGCCGCGUGAGUGAUGAAGGUCUUCGGAUCGUAAAACUCUGUUAUUAGGGAAGAACAAAUGUGUAAGUAACUAUGCACGUCUUGACGGUACCUAAUCAGAAAGCCACGGCUAACUACGUG
Molecule: ribosomal RNA, 497 nt
Filed under: uncultured bacterium
Lineage: Bacteria
Description: partial 16S ribosomal RNA
Rfam family: Bacterial small subunit ribosomal RNA
Source: RNAcentral